Molecule: long non-coding RNA, 384 nt
Organism: Hydra vulgaris (swiftwater hydra)
Lineage: Eukaryota; Metazoa; Cnidaria; Hydrozoa; Anthoathecata; Hydridae
Source: RefSeq, a predicted model, not a curated record
UUCUUUGAAUUCAAUGUCUUUACUCGACAACAUUAUGCUAUUUUUUAAUGGAAUCAUACAUUAGUUAAUGAUCUUCUUAAAAUAUUGCCAAAUCAAGGUUUGGAACUUCCCAAAGAUUCAAGGAGAGUUUUAAAAGCACCUUAUGAAAAGCAGCUUAUAGACAGGAGCGUCAACUACAUCAAGUGUCAGUUGAUAUAUAUGUUCAAAUUCAUGUUUGUAUUUGGAACAACUCCUUUAAUUCAUUCAGCUCCUCCAAAAUUUGAAAGUCUGUGAUUCAAAAUUUUGCUUUUCCCAAAACAAAGUUAAAAAAAAUAUAUGAAGUCAAUGAUAAAUCUUAAAGUUUUACAAAGAAUAAUAAAUAGAAGUUAUUAAAUGUUGGUGGCU